Molecule: RNA transcript, 1216 nt
Organism: Salvia miltiorrhiza (redroot sage)
Lineage: Eukaryota; Viridiplantae; Streptophyta; Magnoliopsida; Lamiales; Lamiaceae
Gene name: ferredoxin-3, chloroplastic-like
Exons: 2
Source: RefSeq, a predicted model, not a curated record
AGUAAACGAAAGGAAGGGGCUGAGCUAAGCAGGAGGUUGGCGGCACCAUUUUUAGGGUAUUCCUCUCUCUCAUAAAUAUUAACGGCACUGCCCUGCUGCGCUGCACCCAACUCAAAGAGGCGUUGCGUCUUUCUCUCUCACUUCACAGCUUCAGUGGAGCUUCGAGUGAAGGGCAUGGCGCCAUGUGCUCGCUCUUCUCAUAAUGCUCCAAACAUCUAACGCUUCGUUGCUGUGAAAAUGGAUGACCAAAUCUGGCUUCCACCAUUAUGGCCAUCUGCGACAGGCAUAUAUGUAUCUCUUAUAUAUUGCCAAUUAGUCACUUUUGUGGAGAUUGCAUAAAUUGAAAUGAUUCUGAAAAGAAGGCAUUUGAUUUUUGUACUGCAUAGUUACACACAUGAUAACUUUCUGUCUUCUUGAUCACUCUUAUCUUGACACAACUAACACGUUAUAAGACUGCCUAGACGCAUUCUCUUUAGCUUUGGUCAGAUGGAUUUGAUAGUCUUUUGAUUUCACUUGUCAUCAUCAACGAGCAUUCUCUCAGAUUAAAUGCCUUUUGCAGGAGAACGGAACAUGGCAACUGCAAGGGCUUCCCACAGUUUCCAUCUUUGGAAGUGCGCCUCGAUGCCAAACCACAAGCGCCUUUGUCAAGAUACCGUCCUCUCUGGGUUCCGUAAAGAGCACCUCUAGAAUCUUUGGCUUGAAGGCAAAGCCAGAUUUCAAGGCAACUGCCAUGGCUGUGUACAAGGUGAAAUUGGUUGGGCCGGAUGGUGCUGAGUGCGAGUUUGAGGCACCCGACGACUGCUACAUCCUCGACUCUGCUGAGUCAGCUGGAGUUGAACUCCCAUACUCAUGCAGGGCUGGAGCAUGCUCCACCUGUGCUGGGAAAAUGGUGUCGGGGGCUGUCGACCAGUCUGAUGGCUCGUUCCUAGACGACAAACAGAUGCAGGAGGGCUACCUGCUGACCUGCGUUUCCUACCCGACUUCAGACUGUGUGAUUCACACACACAAGGAGAGUGAUCUGUACUGAUUACCAUGAUCUCUCUCUCUCUCUUUUUUUAUCAGACAAAAAAAACGAGAAACUAUGUUUUCUGGCUGUAGGUUUGAAUAUCAAGUCGUGCUUUCUUCAGUCAGCAAACUCUUGUAAUCUUGUUUUUGUGCUUAUGUCAUAUGUUUAUGUUGGAAAUAGAGGAGGGUGUGUUCUCUGUGCUUUUAUUAA